GUGGGGGAUAUUGCACAAUGGAGGAAACUCUGAUGCAGCGACGCCGCGUGAGGGAAGAAGGUCUUCGGAUUGUAAACCUCUGUCUUCGGGGACGAAAGAAAUGACGGUACUCGAGGAGGAAGCCACGGCUAACUACGUGCCAGCAGCCGCGGUAAAACGUAGGUGGCAAGCGUUGUCCGGAAUUACUGGGUGUAAAGGGAGCGCAGGCGGAACUGCAAGUUGGAUGUCAAAUCUACGGGCUCAACCCGUAUACGCAUUCAAAACUGCGGUUCUUGAGUAGUGCAGAGGUAGGCGGAAUUCCCGGUGUAGCGGUGGAAUGCGUAGAUAUCGGGAGGAACACCAGUGGCGAAGGCGGCCUACUGGGCACCAACUGACGCUGAGGCUCGAAAGCAUGGGUAGCAAACAGGAUUAGAAACCCCAGUAGUCC
RNAcentral lists this ribosomal RNA (427 nucleotides) under uncultured bacterium. Its description in RNAcentral is "bacterial SSU rRNA". It matches the Rfam family "Bacterial small subunit ribosomal RNA", at positions 354 to 796 of the family's 1533-position model. The record is from RNAcentral.